RNAcentral lists this unclassified non-coding RNA (392 nucleotides) under Hevea brasiliensis (rubber tree). Lineage: Eukaryota; Viridiplantae; Streptophyta; Magnoliopsida; Malpighiales; Euphorbiaceae. The record is from RNAcentral.
UUGGUGGAGCUUCCACUGAGACAUCCACAGCUAUUCAAAUCAAUUGGUGUGAAGCCGCCAAAAGGAAUUCUACUUUAUGGACCUCCUGGUUCUGGGAAGACUCUAAUUGCCCGGGCCGUUGCCAAUGAAACUGGUGCUUUUUUCUUCUGUAUUAAUGGACCUGAGAUCAUGUCCAAAUUGGCUGGGGAAAGUGAAAGCAAUCUCAGAAAAGCUUUUGAGGAAGCAGAGAAGAAUGCACCAUCCAUUAUUUUUAUUGAUGAGAUUGAUUCAAUUGCUCCUAAGCGGGAGAAGACACAUGGUGAAGUUGAGAGGAGGAUAGUAUCCCAGCUCUUGACACUUAUGGAUGGACUUAAAUCCCGUGCUCAUGUUAUUGUCAUUGGGGCCACAAAUCG